RNAcentral lists this long non-coding RNA (671 nucleotides) under Felis catus (domestic cat). RNAcentral's name for it is "lncRNA (ENSFCAG00000045164.2)". Lineage: Eukaryota; Metazoa; Chordata; Mammalia; Carnivora; Felidae. The record is from RNAcentral.
CUAAGAAGUGAUAUGAUGGAAUUCUUGGUAAGAUAUGUGUUCAGACUUGAAGAAAGAAAUGAGGCACAGAAGACCCAGUAAGUUGGCUUCUCGCUAAUUCAGACUCUAAGAUGCAAAUAUCCUACUUCUGCUUCAAAAAGAGAAAAUGGGAAUUGGAAGGAGAACACAAGUCUUAAAGAGACAAGGGAAUGAAUGCCCAUGGAAGUUUCUCCAUUUCUUCAGCCUCUCACUGCCUAGCUCCCAGCAUCAAAGAACAGACAGGGAAUUGGGAAGCCUUCUAAACUGGGUGAUAAGAACCCAUGAGCUACAGAUUCCGUGCAACCAGGCUCUGACAUCCAGAUGAUUCAAAGGCUCAUUUCAGUAAGACUAUUUCAAUCUCAGACUCACAAGUAUCUUUUGUAAUUAUUGUUUGCUUUCUGUAUUUUCCACUGUCUUGUAAGUUCUAUGAGGUCAUGAACUGUCCAUUUGCCACUGGAGCCUUGCAGCCUUUUCAGACCCAUAUCUCAUGUGAAAUUCUAGUGUCCUCAUUUUGUCUUUGGCAGGCCAACCAGCAUCCCAAGGCACUAGAACUCAUCUCUCUCAUUUAGAAAUUAUUUUGCAGUUCACAGUGAUUACAAAAGAAGCUUUAAGUUCCCAUUAAAUUAAAUCACUGACUCUCCUUUCAAAUACAG